Molecule: long non-coding RNA, 627 nt
Organism: Bactrocera oleae (olive fruit fly)
Lineage: Eukaryota; Metazoa; Arthropoda; Insecta; Diptera; Tephritidae
Source: RefSeq, a predicted model, not a curated record
CUAAAAAUCUUGUCGUGUCUACGAGUAUAUAUAAUAUUAAACUUGGGUUUUGUCAGCGUAUAAGUGACUCAUACUCAUAUGCUCCCGCAAAGUGUUCGAAUCAGUAAAAACCUUUUUUAGGAUGUGUGUACUGUACCGUUAUUACAUUUCCUGUUGUGAUUUUCUGAUGAUACAAUAAUAAUAUGUACUUAUGUAUAUUGAUUAAAAUGUUGAUCAUGACUGCUUAAAACAAAUUAUUAAAAUGAGUGUCAAUAACAUACUUGGAACUGUAUUGGUUAUUGACUAGUUGCUGCUGUUGCUAUGCGGUGUGUCAGUGAAUACAGACAAUUCUGUGAAAUCAGAGCUUUGUUCUUUUUUAUUCCAACGAUUGGGUAUUUGUCUUUAAGAUAGACGUCGCCUUAUCUACUACAAGCUAGGUGCUUGGCACAGUUUGAUAUUUUUAAUGGGACAUGCAUAGUUUUGCAAUGAUUUAGAACAUUAAGCUUAUUUUCGCAUAGUUCAAAGAGCGCCAAAUAUUAAUCUAUAAAUAAAGUAAACCAUGUGACCCAAAUAAAACAAUUGAAAACAAAAUGCCCAUGUGUUUACUUCAUGGUUUCUCUACGUUUUAAGUCUGGUCUAUAUACAAUA